This 498-nucleotide ribosomal RNA is filed under the name uncultured bacterium. Its description in RNAcentral is "partial 16S ribosomal RNA". It matches the Rfam family "Bacterial small subunit ribosomal RNA", at positions 28 to 507 of the family's 1533-position model. The record is from RNAcentral.
GAUGAACGCUGGCGGCGUGCCUAAUACAUGCAAGUCGAGCGAACGGACGAGAAGCUUGCUUCUCUGAUGUUAGCGGCGGACGGGUGAGUAACACGUGGAUAACCUACCUAUAAGACUGGGAUAACUUCGGGAAACCGGAGCUAAUACCGGAUAAUAUUUUGAACCGCAUGGUUCAAAAGUGAAAGACGGUCUUGCUGUCACUUAUAGAUGGAUCCGCGCUGCAUUAGCUAGUUGGUAAGGUAACGGCUUACCAAGGCAACGAUGCAUAGCCGACCUGAGAGGGGGGAGCGGCCACAGUGGACGUGAACCCGGGCCCGGCCCCCGACGGGCGGCAGAAGGAGGGAUUCUUCGGAAAGGGCCAAAAGCCUGACGGGUCAACGCCGCGUGAGGAAGAAAGGUCUUCGGAUCUAAAAACUUUUUUAUGAGGGAAAAACAUAUGUGAAAGAAUCUGUACACAUCUGGCGGGGACCUAAUAAAAAGGCCAGGGCUAACCAGGUC